This 374-nucleotide ribosomal RNA is filed under the name uncultured bacterium. RNAcentral's name for it is "bacterial SSU rRNA". It matches the Rfam family "Bacterial small subunit ribosomal RNA", at positions 28 to 381 of the family's 1533-position model. The record is from RNAcentral.
GACGAGCGCUGGCGGCGUGCCUAAUACAUGCAAGUUGAACGCAACAAAGACACCAGAGCUUGCUCUACCGUCUUUGUUGAGUAGCGAACGGGUGAGUAACGCGUGGGUAACCUGCCUUAUAGCGGGGGAUAACUAUUGGAAACGAUAGCUAAUACCGCAUAACAAUAGAGAUUGCAUAAUCUUUAUUUGAAAAGUGCCAACUGGUACACUAUGAGAUGGACCCGCGUUGUAUUAGCUAGUUGGUAGUGUAAUGGACUACCAAGGCGAUGAUACAUAGCCGACCUGAGAGGGUGAUCGGCCACAUUGGGACUGAGACACGGCCCAAACUCCUACGGGAGGCAGCAGUAGGGAAUCCUUCGGGCAAUGGACGAAAG